This 554-nucleotide ribosomal RNA is filed under the name uncultured bacterium. RNAcentral's name for it is "partial 16S ribosomal RNA". It matches the Rfam family "Bacterial small subunit ribosomal RNA", at positions 355 to 900 of the family's 1533-position model. The record is from RNAcentral.
UAGGGAAUCUUCCACAAUGGACGCAAGUCUGAUGGAGCAACGCCGCGUGAGUGAAGAAGGUCUUCGGAUCGUAAAGCUCUGUUGUUGGUGAAGAAGGAUAGAGGCAGUAACUGGUCUUUAUUUGACGGUAAUCAACCAGAAAGUCACGGCUAACUACGUGCCAGCAGCCGCGGUAAUACGUAGGUGGCAAGCGUUGUCCGGAUUUAUUGGGCGUAAAGCGAGCGCAGGCGGAAUGAUAAGUCUGAUGUGAAAGCCCACGGCUCAACCGUGGAACUGCAUCGGAAACUGUCAUUCUUGAGUGCAGAAGAGGAGAGUGGAACUCCAUGUGUAGCGGUGGAAUGCGUAGAUAUAUGGAAGAACACCAGUGGCAAAGGCGGCUCUCUGGUCUGCAACUGACGCUGAGGCUCGAAAGCAUGGGUAGCGAACAGGAUUAGAUACCCUGGUAGUCCAUGCCGUAAACGAUGAGCGCUAGGUGUUGGGGACUUUCCGGUCCUCAGUGCCGCAGCAAACGCAUUAAGCGCUCCGCCUGGGGAGUACGACCGCAAGGUUGAAAC